Molecule: long non-coding RNA, 379 nt
Filed under: Cricetulus griseus (Chinese hamster)
Lineage: Eukaryota; Metazoa; Chordata; Mammalia; Rodentia; Cricetidae
Description: lncRNA (ENSCGRG00015033900.1)
Source: RNAcentral
GUGGGUUCAGGGCCUUUUGCUGAACUUGGGGAGAAGGAGGAGGAACAGGCUUGCUGUGGCCAGAAGAAUCUCUGGCAGAAGGUGGCUGACUUAAGACUACUACUGCUGCAAUGUGAGCCCACUUCAGAAAAUGCUCAUGGUGAGACUGUUCAGACCACCGGACAAUCUGCAGGUACUCAUAGGAUGGGACAUCAAUGUCCAGAAUAUAUAAAGAACUACAAAAAAAAACAACAACAAAAACAGUUUCAGAUGUUGAAUCCAUUAUCCAUUAUCAUCAUGUGGAGAAAGAAGUGUGCAGGCAGACAAGGAGCCGAGAGUUCUCCAUCUUGAUUCACGGGCAGCAGAAGUAAAGAUUGGACUGGGCAUGGCUGGAGCAUAU